CAUGCACAUGCUUAGAGUUACUCAACAAGUUCCAUAACAGCUUAUGUUUCGCAGGAUCUCUUAGAUUUAAGCUGCUUUAAUGCUAGAUUCCCUCCCUCAGCGUAAAAGGUAAGCUUUCCAGUACUUUGGGAUAACAAAAUACAUUUAAAUGCAAUAUUGA
This 160-nucleotide long non-coding RNA is filed under the name Mustela putorius furo (domestic ferret). RNAcentral describes it as "lncRNA (ENSMPUG00000027519.1)". Lineage: Eukaryota; Metazoa; Chordata; Mammalia; Carnivora; Mustelidae. The record is from RNAcentral.